AUUGAACGCUGGCGGCAGGCCUAACACAUGCAAGUCGAGCGGAUGAAGGGAGCUUGCUCCUGGAUUCAGCGGCGGACGGGUGAGUAAUGCCUAGGAAUCUGCCUGGUAGUGGGGGAUAACGUCCGGAAACGGGCGCUAAUACCGCCUACGUCCUGAGGGAGCAAGUGGGGGAUCUUCGGACCUCACGCUAUCAGAUGAGUCUAGGUCGGAUUAGCUAGUUGGUGGGGUAAAGGCCUACCAAGGCGACGAUCCGUAACUGGUCUGAGAGGAUGAUCGGUCACACUGGAGCUGAGACACGGUCCAGACUCCUACGGGAGGCAGCAGUGGGGAAUAUUGGACAAUGGUCGAAAGCCUGAUCCAGCCAUGCCGCGUGUGUGAAAAAGGUCUUCGGAUUGUAAAGCACUUUAAGUUGGUAGGAAGGGCAGUAAGUUAAUACCUUGCUGUUUUGACGUUACCAACAGAAUAAGCACCGGCUAACUUCGUG
Molecule: ribosomal RNA, 484 nt
Filed under: uncultured bacterium
Lineage: Bacteria
Description: partial 16S ribosomal RNA
Rfam family: Bacterial small subunit ribosomal RNA
Source: RNAcentral